GCGGCCCCGAGUCCGCUCUCUCAAAAAAGGGGCCCGAAUCGGCAUAUCCCGUCGGCUUGCAUGACUGGUCUCUGGUGGUGCUAUGCGCUGGCGGCCCCGAGUCCGCUCUCUCAAAAAAGGGACCCGAGUUGGCGUACCCCGUCGGCUUGCAUGACUGGGUGGUGCUAUGCGCUGUGGGCCCCGAGUCCGCUCUCUCAAAAAAGGGGCCCGAGUCGCUGCUUAAAUGGGAUUUUGUGGCAUUCAUGGGGACGCGGACCUCGGGGAGAACCACUGUUUUUCACCAAUUGCCAAUCGGCUUCUUAGCACCAAUCAGGCAAGCCAAAAACUUGGAUUUACAAAAUACACUUGGCAACGAAUGCAAAGCAUAGAAAAUGAUGGCAUACCCCGUCGGCUUGCAUGACUGGUCUCUGGUGGUGCUAUGCGCUGUCGGCCCCGAGUCCGCUCUCUCAAAAAAGGGGCCCGAGUCGCUGCUUAAAUGAGAUUUUGCAGCAUUCAUGGGGACGCGGACCUCAGGGAGAACCGCUGCUUUCCACGAAUUGGCAUUCGGCUUCUUAGGACCAAUCAGGCAAGCCAAUCAUGCAACCAAUCCCCAUGCGAGUUUACAUGGUCGCUUGAAUCCUGCUUCGGAACAAAACUAGUGCACUUUCUGUAGACAGCACAUUCCAGCAAGCAGCGAUGACGCGCACACACGUGCUCAAGUUUCGGUCGCCGGUCGUCCCGCAGCACCACUCCUGUGCACCCGCUCGUUUCGGGUACGGGGCGCGAAGCGGCUUACCGGAUGCAGCUUCCCCCCGUCUGCUCGAAUUCUUCUCCAAGAGCAGUUGAAAAGGAAUGUCUCUAACACCAUUUGAAAAAGAAAAAGCUUAACUCUGCCUUUUGCGACAAUAUUUUGUUUCAAUAAUGGAGGCAAACACAAACAUCUUCAGCUGUCGUACAGCGAGUCUAACCUUGGCAAAUUCAGGCAGGUCGUCAUCAGGUACAAGCAAAGGUACCACAGCACCCACAGUUAGCGUUCUUCCAGAGACAGUAAUGGAAUCUACGUACUGCAUAUCUGUCAUAUUGAAACAAGAGCUCCUGUAGUCUGUCCUUCAAAAGGUCCGGCAACAUGUCUGGAUCCAUUGCUUUGCUCUCUUUAACAAUCAGUGGUUCCUGAGGUUGUGUCAAAGCAUACAUAAGAUGCAUAUAAUGUCGGCGACAUAGUGUUGCAGAAAUAUUCUUGAAGUUGUGUAUUUUCCUGCUGUUAGACUUAAAAAAUUGAUGCUUCGCUUCGAAGCGUAUACAAGACAGUUUGCAAAGGGGGCCACAUGAAAGCAGGAGGCUAGGAUAGUGAAUCACAUAGUGCAUAUUAGGGAUAAUGUUGGCAUCUAGAAAAUUUUCCCUGAACGCUUUGUAAAAGUCCUCAAUGCACACCUUUAGAUAUGCAGCAGCACCUUUGGGCACCUGUGGUGCAAGAAUGAUGUCUACAAUAGCACGCAGUUCAAGGUAUAUUUGAUAUGCAGAAUUUUCCUUUGGCACUUCGUCACCCACAAGCAAAGAGAAGAAACGAAAAAAGAUACAGCUUUUCAGCAGCUGACCCCUUGAUGGUUGCUUUUCCAGAAACUGUCGCACGUGUCAGGGGGGGGCAGUCUAGACUUUUUGUCACCUGCCUGAAAAGGAAAUUUGGCAAGUCGCUCAUUUAACUGCUCCAGAGUUAAAAAUCCACUCGAUACAAUGCGCUUGAUGACAUGUUUCAUGACAAAAGGAAUGACGCCUUCGUAAAGGUCAUGCAUUACAUCUGGUGGCAAACCUUGGGUGACAUCAAAUGAAUUCAGAGAGCUCAAGCAACUUUCACCGGUAACACCAUAUGCACUACUUAGAGUAGGAUCCUGCUUGAUGAGCUCAACGUGACGAGUGUGUGCUUGUUUCGUUCUUAUGACAAACUCUUCUUCGUGUCAUUUGUCAUUAAUUUCAUCUCUGGUUGCCAUGCAGUAGUGGCACAUGAGGCCAGAUGAGAAACAUUCUCGAAAACCACCAAGUUGGUGGCUUGACAGGUUGUCGGCACAUACAAACAAAAGUGACCCUUUCAUUACUGUUCCAUUUAGGUUAAUGCCAUUAGUUUCAAGUUGCUGCAAGUCUUUCAGCAGUGGCUUGAGAAUUUCCUGAAAACUGAAUUUGUUAAAAUGAGAUAUUUGUCAUCAAGCUUUGAACACGAGUGCGGCGUAUGAUUUAAGAUUGUUAAGUAUCCGGCGAGAAGUUUGUGUUUGCUACGUUUGCUACCGAGAGGGUUACACACUUCAAACUCGUCAAAAUAUACUUGAGGGGCCAACAACUUCUCAGAGCCAGCAUCUUUAAAUAUUCUGUGCUCCUUAAAAUAGCUUCCAUCACGUACAUGCCGCAAGAGGGUUGCGGAUUGCUUGAAUUCUCCAGAAAGCUUUUGCACUCCAGCAACGGCUUGUAUGGUCUUUAGAAUAGGAACAUAUUCAAUGUGUUCAUCUGGGUUACCUGAAAGAUGGACAGUUUGCGGAGACACAAAAGUAAGUACACUUUUCCAAUAAUAUUCUCGGCCAGAUUUUGUUCCAAGGUGCUGGAGCCUUCCCAUUUCGACUGCGUUCAAUGUAGCUUGGAAAUCUGUAAUAAAGUGGAGAAAAUCAUUGGCAAUUUCAUUUACAGUACUCUCUGGCAACUGUCCUCCUUCUUGCCACUUCAACAGUAGAGAGGACAGAGGCAUGGCACAUUGGUCAGUAACAUCUAAAAGUCGCUGUUGCUUCUACAUCCCUGUUGAGGCUCCUCAUCAGCAAGUUCACAGACUUCACUGGGCUCAUCCGUUGCAUCAUCACAGAGUUCACUGUGAAAGACUUCCUUUCGAACAAUUAGGCCUGGGGUCUGUCCCCCCUCCCCCCGAAAAAAAAAAUCCUGGCUACAUGCCUGACAUGAUGUGAAACGAAAAAAAAACAAACAGAGAUGCAGCAUUCAUAUGGGGAUGGAUUACUGGCAAAACUGUAUUUGCAUUGCUGCUGUCAGCAGCUUUCCAUUUUGACAACAGCAAUGCAGAACUGCCAGCCAUCUGUCACACAUCUAAAUCUGUAAAAAAAGCAUAACGAGGGCUCACAUACUUAUUGCCUCCCAGUUCAUAGAUGUGCAAUAGGUCAUAAAACUCUCCAUAGUGAUGAGCAUUUUCGAUUAUUACAUUGUGAGCCGAGCUCUCAACACCAAAGCUUGAAAAUGUUCAUCGAAAUAUUUUGUUUCAAGAAUGGAGGUAAACACGAACAUCUUCAGCUGACAUACAACAGUGAGUCUAAGCUUGGCAAAUUCAAGCAGGUCGUCAUAAGGUACAAGCAAGGUACCACAGCACCCACAGUUGGCGUUCUUCCAGAGACAGUAAUGGAAUCUACGUACUGCAUAUCUGUCAGUAUUGAAACAGAGUUCCUGUAGUCUGACCCUCAAGAGGUCAGGCAACAUGUCUGGAUCCAUUGCUUUGCUCCCUUUAACAAUCAGUGGUUCCUGAGGUUGUGUCAAAGCAUACAUAAGAUGCAUCUGGUGUCGGCGACAUAGUGUUGCAGAAAUAUUCCUGAAGUUGCGUAUUUUCCUGCUGAUAGACUUAAAAAAUUGAUGCUUCGCUUCGAAGUGCAUACAAGACAGUUUGCAAAGAGGGCCACAUGAAAGGAGGAGGCUAGGAUAGUGAAUCACAUAAUGCAUCUUAGGGACAAUGUUGGCAUCUAGAAAAGUUUCCCUGAAUGCUUUGUAAAAGUCCUCAAUGCACACCUUUAUAUAUGCAGCAGCACCUUCGGGCACCUGUGGUGCGAUGUUCUACCACUUAGGAAGGAGGCAAUGUACGCGAGUAGGAGACCACUCACUCCAAGAGUUCGCACCGCGUCCAAGAUAAUGGGUUGUGGCAGGGAGUCUAAAGCCGCCUAUAUAUCCAGGAGGACAAGGUAGCCGGCCUCUCCGUUGUGUUGCGCCUCCUCAAGCAUUGAGAUGACGUCGGCAAGCGCAGUCGGCAGUGGCCCGUGAGCGGCGGAAUCCACCCUGUGAUGAUGAGAAGACGUCCAGUGCUUCGGUGAUCCACUGGAACCUCCGUAGCGCCAUGGCCUCAAAGAGUUUUCUCGCCGCAAAUGUUAGCGAAACCGGACGAUAAGACGGCGGUUCUGAGGCGGGUUUGCCCUUUUUCAGCACGGGAAGGACGAUGGCCUCUAGCCACUCUUGUGGCACAAGUACACUGUAGCACAAGUCCCGAGCGUCGCACAUCAUUGUAGGCGGCCAGGAGGGCUGGGAGUUGCAAGUCGUCGAGGUUUCGAAGCAUCUGGGUUGCCCAUGCCGUGCGUGACAAACUGUGCACAUACUUCAUCACUGAGGGAAGAGUGCCAUGGCAGGAGAGACACGUAAAAGAGUGCAGAUGGUGACCAGCGAAAGGUGUCGCUGCUAGCAGCUGGAUGCACAGGUGUGGUGGUUGAACUGCUGGUGCCUGCGUCAAGCUCGGACCACUCCACUUCAAGAUUGUCUGUGGCAGGCGGUUCCAGCUGUUUGUCAUCACUCGAUCCUUCGGCGGACACUUCAGAUCUGUAUCAAGUGCAAAUAAAACCAUUUCUUGUGUCAAUGCAUACAAUGGUACGAUGACUUUUU
This is a long non-coding RNA of Rhipicephalus sanguineus (brown dog tick), 4599 nucleotides long. RefSeq lists it as uncharacterized. The transcript has 3 exons. Lineage: Eukaryota; Metazoa; Arthropoda; Arachnida; Ixodida; Ixodidae. The record is from RefSeq and is a predicted model, not a curated record.